RNAcentral lists this ribosomal RNA (253 nucleotides) under uncultured bacterium. RNAcentral's name for it is "partial 16S ribosomal RNA". It matches the Rfam family "Bacterial small subunit ribosomal RNA", at positions 524 to 776 of the family's 1533-position model. The record is from RNAcentral.
UACGGAGGGGGCAAGCGUUAUUCGGAAUUAUUGGGCGUAAAGGGCGCGUAGGCGGCUAGAUGUGUCAAAGGUGAAAUCCCUCGGCUCAACUGAGGAACUGCCUUUGAAACUGUCUGGCUUGAGGCCGGGAGAGGGUAGCGGAAUUCCCAGUGUAGCGGUGAAAUGCGUAGAUAUUGGGAGGAACACCAGUGGCGAAGGCGACUUUCUGGGCUGUAACUGACGCUGAGGCGCGAAAGCGUGGGGAGCAAACAGG